This 363-nucleotide ribosomal RNA is filed under the name Triticum aestivum (bread wheat). RNAcentral's name for it is "partial small subunit ribosomal RNA". The record is from RNAcentral. Lineage: Eukaryota; Viridiplantae; Streptophyta; Magnoliopsida; Poales; Poaceae.
CUGGCUAAGGAGGAUGUUUGCGACAUCUGCAGAGUGGAAAAGGAAGAUGAAUUUCACGCGAUGAUUACAUGCACAAGAAGUAGGGCAUUGAGAUGCGCUAUGUGGGUAGUGUGUGAUCUCCCAAAAGAAUGCACAUUUAGGCAGUAUGGCGAUGAUUGGCUGCAGAUGUUGUUAAGCCCACAGUCCAAUGUUGUUAGAAGAAGAAUACUGUUGAUUCUCUGGAGGUCUUGGCAGCUCAGGAACAACGUUAUCCAUGGGGAUGGGAAAGAGACAGUUUUGGGUGUCGUGAAUCACCUGACAAAAUUGCAGGUGGGUCUAUUAAUUGUUGGCCUCGUAUGGUGGUUCUCCAACUGUCGGAAAUAA